UAGGGAAUCUUCCACAAUGGACGCAAGUCUGAUGGAGCAACGCCGCGUGAGUGAAGAAGGUUUUCGGACCGUAAAGCUCUGUUGUUGGUGAAGAAGGAUAGAGGUAGUAACUGGCCCUUUAUUUGACGGUAAUCAACCAGAAAGUCACGGUUAACUACGUGCCAGCAGCCGCGGUAAUACGUAGGUGGCAAGCGUUGUCCGGAUUUAUUGGGCGUAAAGCGAGCGCAGGCGGAAGAAUAAGUCUGAUGUGAAAGCCCUCGGCUUAACCGAGGAAUUGCAUCGGAAACUGUUUUUCUUGAGUGCAGAAGAGGAGAGUAGAACUCCAUGUGUAGCGGUGGAAUGCGUAGAUAUAUGGAAGAAUACCAGUGGCGAAGGCGGCUCUCUGGUCUGCAACUGACGCUGAGGCUCGAAAGCAUGGGUAGCGAACAGGAUUAGAUACCCUGGUAGUCCAUGCCGUAAACGAUGAGUGCUAAGUGUUGGG
This 481-nucleotide ribosomal RNA is filed under the name uncultured bacterium. RNAcentral describes it as "partial 16S ribosomal RNA". It matches the Rfam family "Bacterial small subunit ribosomal RNA", at positions 355 to 827 of the family's 1533-position model. The record is from RNAcentral.